GAGAGAGAGAGAGGAAAUGUGGAGAAAAGGAAAAUGACAGGAAAAUUGUGUGGUAUCCACCACAUUUGGAAUAAAAUGAGUGUGAAGUCCAUUCAAUUACUAAUUUAGCCUUAUAACAUCAUCUUUAAUUAUAGAAGGAAUAAAAUUGUACUUUCACCAUCAUAAAACAAAUUUCCCCUCAAUUUCCUUCCUCCCAUUAUCUUUCCAAUCCAAAUAAAAGAAAAGAAAAUCACCUUCUCAAUUCAUUCCUCUCAUUUUCCUUCCUCCCUAAAUUUUUCUCCAAACAUAGCAUAAGAGUAAUCAUAAAGUCAGUUGUAUCAGAAAAUUUACCACAGUUUGAACUUUGAACUCUGAAGACACAUUUACAUCAUCCUCUAUAUACAUACCUACUGAUAUUGGUUUAAAUUGCAAAUGUAAAAGCUUAUUCAGCAGAAAUCAUAAUCCAUAAAGCUAUAUCUUAGAAAUAAUCUCAUCACUCAUUACAAAGGAGUCACAUUCCAUUCCAAAUUCGUAAAUGAAGACAUAUCUGUUGAAUACUUCAGAUAAUUGAACAAAGAACAUACCUCACCAACCACAGUCAAUGAAG
RNAcentral lists this unclassified non-coding RNA (586 nucleotides) under Hevea brasiliensis (rubber tree). The record is from RNAcentral. Lineage: Eukaryota; Viridiplantae; Streptophyta; Magnoliopsida; Malpighiales; Euphorbiaceae.